This 464-nucleotide ribosomal RNA is filed under the name uncultured bacterium. Its description in RNAcentral is "bacterial SSU rRNA". It matches the Rfam family "Bacterial small subunit ribosomal RNA", at positions 443 to 911 of the family's 1533-position model. The record is from RNAcentral.
GGGUGAAUAACCUGUGUGGAUGACGGUACCGGAAGAAGAAGCACCGGCUAACUACGUGCCAGCAGCCGCGGUAAUACGUAGGGUGCGAGCGUUAAUCGGAAUUACUGGGCGUAAAGCGUGCGCAGGCGGUUUUGUAAGACAGAUGUGAAAUCCCCGGGCUUAACCUGGGAACUGCAUUUGUGACUGCAAGGCUAGAGUACGGCAGGAGGGGGGUAGAAUUCCACGUGUAGCAGUGAAAUGCGUAGAUAUGUGGAGGAAUACCGAUGGCGAAGGCAGCCCCCUGGGUCGAUACUGACGCUCAUGCACGAAAGCGUGGGGAGCAAACAGGAUUAGAUACCCUGGUAGUCCACGCCCUAAACGAUGUCAACUAGGUGUUGGGGGGGGAGACUUCCUUAGUACCGCAGCUAACGCGUGAAGUUGACCGCCUGGGGAGUACGGUCGCAAGAUUAAAACUCAAAGGAAUU